Cyprinus carpio (common carp) is the source of this 1421-nucleotide long non-coding RNA. The record is from Ensembl. Lineage: Eukaryota; Metazoa; Chordata; Actinopteri; Cypriniformes; Cyprinidae.
GAAAAAGAAGUCAUGCAGUUUUGCAACAUGUGGCAAACCUGCUACACAAAGUUGGCAAAGCGUGCACAAUUCCCACUACUACCCAUCCACACCUAUGGGCUUUCAACCCUUCAAGCAGUAAAUAAAAAUGGAGGCUCCCUCAAGACCUGUGUUUGUGAUUCAGUCCUGGAGCUGUCAGAACAUGAAGCUGUCUGGCUUUUUGUCUUGUGUCAAGUCCAAAGCCCAGCACCUCUAGCGUGCCACAGAUCUGCUUACCAAAAACCAGCUGGCUGCAACCAGCCAUCAAAGACCACAAAGAGAGGCCUCUCAGGAGAUGGAGGACCUGACAUUCCUCAGGAUGAGUGCCUUGAGAUAUGAAACACACAAGAGAUCGAAUGACAGACUGUUUAAUAUUUGCCACUGCUUUCAGGUAAAUGACUUGAGUCAUUCAGUCUGCAUCUGAAGAAAAUGUGCUGAAUAUGUGUCUGUUUUGUAAUCUGAAGGGAACAUGUUUGCUGUGCCUCUUGGGCGGCUCAGAGGUAAGACGACGCAGAUGUCCAUAACAUGUUCCACAGCUGGGAGUGAUCGAGACCAGUCACUCAACGCUGGUGAAAAAUGGACUUGGGAUGGAGAAAGGCAAGUCUUCUGUAAUUGGAUGGUGGUUGAGAGGGGGCCUCGGAGGGUGGAGGCAAAAAAGCUUGUAGGGGAGAAGGGGUAUUUGCAGUCUUUGCCAAAGCCACUUCAUUUUGCUACAAGGACUCGCAGCGAGACAAAGAGAAGGCAGAGCUUUGCUAAUCAGGUAGGUGUGAUGCUGUUUUCUACUGGCUACUUGGAAGAUUUAUUAUUUAUUUAUUUAUUUUUGUCUUAUUUUGCAUUUCUGCCUCAAUGGAGACUUUGGAUUUGGUACUAAGUGGAACAAGCUCACAGUAGUUGAAUACAGGUUGUGUUGCUAUUUUGUGGGAAUAUGUUUUUUCAAGCUGUUUUUACUGUAUAGAUAAAUGAAAUGCCUGGGUUUCCUACCUGACCUGUUCGUUUUUAUACAAUAGCCAUUAUUUUUCAGUUGUAUCACACGCAAGUAACUUUUUGCCUGAUCUGCAAUAAUUUCAGUAUUUAGUUUUUAUCUAUAAUUCCAUUUUUGGUGUUCCUGCACCUUUCCCGGUUGCAAAACCAUUUUGAAGCAAUCAAAACUGAUUUUGGUUCUUCAGCCUGAUCUGAUUUGCUAUGGUUACAGAUGGAUUUUGGGCACUUGUCAUCUAGACAAUCUAGAACACCAGCUAGCCACCCAGACCAGCCAGAAAAAAAAAAUGCUUAAACCAGUUAAAGAUGGUUUGUCUUCACUAUUUUACCUGGUUUCCCAGCCUGGCGAGGCUGUUUGCUGGUUUAACUAGUCAUAAAAUGACCAAAACUCUAAUAAAAGCAGCCAGAUUUUGCUGGAAAAAGCA